AAAUCAUUGAUCAUUUCUCAACCAGUUUCUGAAAUGAAAAAACACCUAACGCUGAUGUUAGUCGUAAUGUUAGCCGUGGUAUCGGCUCAAAAGCGCCGUCUUCCUGACCCGACUCCUACAACAGAGAGUACUACCUUUUUGGAGGUAUCAAGCGAAAAAUGCGAUCUUUUCACGAAUGACUUCUGCGGUAGUGUCGAGACGACAUCACCACUACCUUUAAUUCAAUAUGGAUAAUAAAUAAAUUAUGGCUGAUAUUAUU
RNAcentral lists this unclassified non-coding RNA (259 nucleotides) under Melitaea cinxia (Glanville fritillary). RNAcentral's name for it is "misc RNA ENSMCXG00005012439.1". The record is from RNAcentral. Lineage: Eukaryota; Metazoa; Arthropoda; Insecta; Lepidoptera; Nymphalidae.